GUAGUUGAAUUUUAGCCYUGGCUGGGCGGUCCACCAUUGGCUGGCACUGCUCUGGCUGGGGUUCACCUUCUGGUGAGCCGGCAUGCCCUUUACUGGGUGUGCCGGGGAACCAGGACUUUUACUUUGAAAAAAUUAGAGUGUUUAAAGCAGGCCUAUGCUUGAAUACAUUAGCAUGGAAUAAUAGAAUAGGACCUCGGUUCUAUUUUGUUGGUUUCUAGGACCGAAGUAAUGAUUAAUAGGGAUAGUUGGGGGCAUUAGUAUUUAGUAGCUAGAGGUGAAAUUCUUGGAUUUAUGAAAGACUAACUUCUGCGAAAGCAUUUGCCAAGGAUGUUUUCAUUAAUCAAGAACGAAAGUUAGGGGAUCGAAGACGAUCAGAUACCGUCGUAGUCUUAACCAUAAACUAUGCCGACUAGGGAUCAGACGAUGUUAAUUUACUGACUCGUUUGGCACCUUAUGAGAAAUCAAAGUUUUUGGGUUCCGGGGGGAGUAUGGUCGCAAGGCUGAAACUUAAAGGAAUUGACGGAAGGGCACCACCAGGAGUGGAGCCUGCGGCUUAAUUUGACUCAACACGGGGAAACUCACCAGGUCCAGACAUAGUAAGGAUUGACAGAUUGAGAGCUCUUUCUUGAUUCUAUGGGUGGUGGUGCAUGGCCGUUCUUAGUUGGUGGAGUGAUUUGUCUGCUUAAUUGCGUUAACGAACGAGACCUUAACCUGCUAAAUAGUUAUGCCAACCUUUGUUGGUAGUCAACUUCUUAGAGGGACUGUCGGCGAUUAGCCGACGGAAGUUUUAGGCAAUAACAGGUCUGUUAUGCCCUUAGAUGUCCUGGGCCGCACGCGCGCUACACUGAUGAAGUCAACGAGUUUAUAACCUUGGCCGGAAGGU
Molecule: ribosomal RNA, 883 nt
Filed under: Mucoromycotina sp.
Lineage: Eukaryota; Fungi; Mucoromycota
Description: SSU rRNA
Rfam family: Eukaryotic small subunit ribosomal RNA
Source: RNAcentral